Molecule: ribosomal RNA, 256 nt
Filed under: uncultured archaeon
Lineage: Archaea
Description: partial 16S ribosomal RNA
Rfam family: Bacterial small subunit ribosomal RNA
Source: RNAcentral
UAAUACGUAGGUGGCGAGCGUUGUCCGGAAUUAUUGGGCGUAAAGGGCACGCAGGCGGCUGUUUAAGUCCGGUGUGAAAGGUUGCGGCUUAACCGCAAACGGGCACCGGAAACUGAAGAGCUUGAGGGCAGAAGAGGGGAGCAGAAUUCCACGUGUAGCGGUGAAAUGCGUAGAGAUGUGGAAGAAUACCGGUGGCGAAAGCGGCUCUCUGGUCUGCACCUGACGCUGAGGUGCGAAAGCGUGGGGAGCGAACAGG